This 1016-nucleotide ribosomal RNA is filed under the name uncultured Ascomycota. Its description in RNAcentral is "eukaryotic LSU rRNA". It matches the Rfam family "Eukaryotic large subunit ribosomal RNA", at positions 1 to 1031 of the family's 3401-position model. Lineage: Eukaryota; Fungi; Ascomycota. The record is from RNAcentral.
UCUUUGACCUCGGAUCAGGUAGGGAUACCCGCUGAACUUAAGCAUAUCAAUAAGCGGAGGAAAAGAAACCAACAGGGAUUGCCCUAGUAACGGCGAGUGAAGCGGCAACAGCUCAAAUUUGAAAUCUGGCUCUCUUUGGGGGUCCGAGUUGUAAUUUGCAGAGGGUGCUUUGGCAUUGGCGGUGGUCUAAGUUCCUUGGAACAGGACAUCACAGAGGGUGAGAAUCCCGUACGUGGGCACCUGCCUUUGCCGUGUAAAGCCCCUUCGACGAGUCGAGUUGUUUGGGAAUGCAGCUCUAAAUGGGAGGUAAAUUUCUUCUAAAGCUAAAUACCGGCCAGAGACCGAUAGCGCACAAGUAGAGUGAUCGAAAGAUGAAAAGUACUUUGGAAAGAGAGUCAAAUAGCACGUGAAAUUGUUGAAAGGGAAGCGCUUGCAGCCAGACUUGCCCGCAGUUGCUCACCUAGGCUUUGGCCUGGGGCACUCUUCUGCGGGCAGGCCAGCAUCAGUUUGGGCGGUCGGAUAAAGGCCUCUGUCACGUAUCUCCCUUCGGGGUGACCUUAUAGGGGAGGCGUAAUGCGACCAGCCCGGACUGAGGUCCGCGCAUCUGCUAGGAUGCUGGCGUAAUGGCUGUAAGCGGCCCGUCUUGAAACACGGACCAAGGAGUCUAACAUCUAUGCGAGUGUUUGGGUGUCAAGCCCGGGCGCGCAAUGAAAGUGAACGGAGGUGGGAACCCUUUGGGUGCACCAUCGACCGAUCCUGGUGUCUUCGGAUGGAUUUGAGUAAGAGCAUAGCUGUUGGGACCCGAAAGAUGGUGAACUAUGCUUGAAUAGGGUGAAGCCAGAGGAAACUCUGGUGGAGGCUCGCAGCGGUUCUGACGUGCAAAUCGAUCGUCAAAUUUGGGCAUAGGGGCGAAAGACUAAUCGAACCAUCUAGUAGCUGGUUCCUGCCGAAGUUUCCCUCAGGAUAGCAGUAACGUUUUCAGUUUUUAUGAGGUAAAGCGAAUGAUUAAAGGCAUG